This 795-nucleotide ribosomal RNA is filed under the name Harringtonia lauricola. RNAcentral describes it as "Raffaelea lauricola partial large subunit ribosomal RNA". It matches the Rfam family "Eukaryotic large subunit ribosomal RNA", at positions 82 to 900 of the family's 3401-position model. Lineage: Eukaryota; Fungi; Ascomycota; Sordariomycetes; Ophiostomatales; Ophiostomataceae. The record is from RNAcentral.
AGUAACGGCGAGUGAAGCGGCAACAGCUCAAAUUUGAAAUCUGGCCCCCCGCGGGCCCGAGUUGUACUUUGGAGAGGACGCUUCUGGCGCGGCGCCGUCCGAGUUCCCUGGAACGGGACGCCGGAGAGGGUGAGAGCCCCGUACGGGCGGCCGCCUAGCCUCUGCGAAGCUCCUUCGACGAGUCGAGUAGUUUGGGAAUGCUGCUCAAAAUGGGAGGUAAAUUUCUUCUAAAGCUAAAUACCGGCCAGAGACCGAUAGCGCACAAGUAGAGUGAUCGAAAGAUGAAAAGCACUUUGAAAAGAGGGUCAAACAGUACGUGAAAUUGUUGAAAGGGAAGCGCCUGUGGCCAGACUUGCGCCCCGCGGACCACCCGGCGCCUCGCGCGCCGGGGCACGCCAGCGGGGCGCAGGCCAGCAUCGGCUCUCUCGGGGGGACAAAGGCCGCGGGAACGUAGCGCCCUCGCGGCGUAUUAUAGCCCGCGGCGCCAUGCCCCCGGGGGGGCCGAGGACCGCGCUCCGGCAAGGAUGCUGGCGUAAUGGCCACCGGCGACCCGUCUUGAAACACGGACCAAGGAGUCAAGCAUUGGGGCGAGUGUCUGGGUGGCAAGCCCGCACGCGGAAUGAAAGUGAACGCAGGUGGGAGCUUCGGCGCACCACCGACCGAUCCUGAUGUCCUCGGAUGGAUUUGAGUAGGAGCCCCGCCGCUUGGACCCGAAAGAUGGUGAACUAUGCCUGUAUAGGGUGAAGCCAGAGGAAACUCUGGUGGAGGCCCGCAGCGGUUCUGACGUGCAAAUCG